GUGUGUGUGUGUGUGUGUGUGUGUGCUUGUUGAGUCUUCAGUCGUCAGUGAAAUUGUGUUAAAAAGUGUUAAAGGUACAGUGUGUAGGAUUUGGCGUUAUCUAGUGGUCAUUCUCUCUAGAGCCAGUGUUUGGUUUGUCCGUUCUGGGCUACUGUAGAAACAUGGCGGACUCUGUGAAGAGGACCCGCUCCCUAUGUAGAUAUGAAGGAAGGGCUCAUUCUAGGCUAACGAAACAAAAUGAUUCUUAGUUUCAGGUGAUUAUACACUAAUGAAAACAUAGUAAUGCAUAUUAUAUUCCAUUUCUGCUAAUAGAUCCCCUGAAAGGUUACACACUGUUCCUUUAA
Molecule: long non-coding RNA, 344 nt
Organism: Sebastes umbrosus (honeycomb rockfish)
Lineage: Eukaryota; Metazoa; Chordata; Actinopteri; Perciformes; Sebastidae
Exons: 2
Source: RefSeq, a predicted model, not a curated record